GGUUGGAUCAUUAAUAAAAUUUAAUUAAAGCGUUUUCUUGAUGGUUGUGGUUUAUCCCAACCUUAAAGAAGCGUUUUACCCCAAUUUUGUGAACUUGUAAUUUUGAUUGUUUGGGUAAGGGUUGACCUUCACUUUAUUGAAGAGGUCUGGAAGUUGAGGCUAGCAAUAGUCUUAGGCCUUAUCCACGUUAAUAAAAUAUGCCUUAUUUUGAAAGAACUUGUCUUUACCGUUUAUUAUACAAAAAAUAACAAACAACUUUUGACAACGGAUCUCUAGGCUCUCGCAACGAUGAAGAACGCAGCGAAAUGCGAUAAGUAAUGUGAAUUGCAGAAUUCCGUGAAUCAUUAAAUCUUUGAACGCACCUUGCGCUCCUUGGUAUUCCGAAGAGCAUGUCUGUUUGAGAAUCAGUUUAAACCUUUUAAUGAAAAGCCUUGCCUAACAGCUAAGGUCUUUUGUUAGACUAUGAGACCAUCACCCACUGUAAGGAGGGUGAGGACUUUGAAUUUAAUUUGUUCCAACCUCUCAACUAGCUUGAGGAUUAGGUUGGUAAGGUCUUUUUUGGGUAAAAGCAUGAUCAAUUGGGCGUAAGAAACCCAUUUCAUUGUUUUAACCUUGUUAUAAGCCUUGCCGUUUCUUUUGCAAAAAAGAAGAACUUAGUCCAAGAACUGUAAGAAAGGAACGAGGCUUUUAACAGCCAACACCAAUAAAAGAUGAAGAAUCUUUCAAACACUUGAUCUCAAAUCAGACAAGACUACCCGCUGAACUUAAGCAUAUCAAUAAGCGGAGGAAAAGAAACUAACAAGGAUUCCCCUAGUAACGGCGAGUGAAGCGGGAAUAGCUCAAAUUUGAAAUCUCAUUGUUUUACAGUGCGAAUUGUAGUUUAUAGAAGUGUUUUCGGGUAAAGGCCAAGGUCAAGUCCUUUGGGAUAAGGCGUCAUAGAAGGUGAGAAUCCUGUAUGCGCUUUGGCUCUUAACCUAUGUGAUACACUUUCAAAGAGUCGGGUUGUUUGGGAAUGCAGCCCAAAAUGGGUGGUAAAUACCAUCUAAAGCUAAAUAUUGGCGAGAGACCGAUAGCGAACAAGUACCGUGAGGGAAAGAUGAAAAGAACUUUGAAAAGAGAGUUAAAAGUACGUGAAAUUGUCAAAAGGGAAACACUUGAAACCAGUCUUGCCUGUUUGAAUCCCAACUAACCUAACGGUUAGCAUAUGUUUCAUUCGGCAGGUCAAAAUCAGUUUUCUUUGUUGUAAACAGCUUGAAGAAGGUGGCCUUCGGGUGUUAUAGCUUCAAGUCUUAUGCAGUGAAGAGGAUUGAGGGUCGCAGUGCAGCCUUGGGGUCUGGAUCGCUAGGUUUGACGUUUACCAAGACUACUUGUAGACUUGGCCGAUCGCGCAAGCCUAAUCGGUUCAAUCAACCCACAACUUGUACUUUGGAUUUUGACAAAAUGGUUUUAAAUGACCCGUCUUGAAACACGGACCAAGGAGUCUAACACAUAUGCGAGUAUUUGGGUGGAAAACCCAGAAUGCGCAAUGAAAGUAUUAAGGUGGGAUUCCUGUUAAAGGGAUGCACCAUCGACCGGUCUGGAUGUUUACUGAUAGAUCUGAGUAAGAGCAUAUUUGUUAGGACCCGAAAGAUGGUGAACUAUGCCUGAAUAGGGCGAAGCCAGAGGAAACUCUGGUGGAGGCUCGUAGCGAUUCUGACGUGCAAAUCGAUCGUCAAAUUUGGGUAUAGGGGCGAAAGACUAAUCGAACCAUCUAGUAGCUGGUUCCCUCC
RNAcentral lists this unclassified non-coding RNA (1769 nucleotides) under uncultured fungus. RNAcentral's name for it is "sequence contains 18S rRNA gene, ITS1, 5.8S rRNA gene, ITS2, 28S rRNA gene". The stretch from base 732 to 1769 matches the Rfam family "Eukaryotic large subunit ribosomal RNA", at positions 1 to 962 of the family's 3401-position model. Lineage: Eukaryota; Fungi. The record is from RNAcentral.